UAGGGAAUCUUCGGCAAUGGACGGAAGUCUGACCGAGCAACGCCGCGUGAGUGAAGAAGGUUUUCGGAUCGUAAAGCUCUGUUGUAAGAGAAGAACGAGUGUGAGAGUGGAAAGUUCACACUGUGACGGUAUCUUACCAGAAAGGGACGGCCAACUACGUGCCAGCAGCCGCGGUAAUACGUAGGUCCCGAGCGUUGUCCGGAUUUAUUGGGCGUAAAGCGAGCGCAGGCGGUUAGAUAAGUCUGAAGUUAAAGGCUGUGGCUUAACCAUAGUACGCUUUGGAAACUGUUUAACUUGAGUGCAAGAGGGGAGAGUGGAAUUCCAUGUGUAGCGGUGAAAUGCGUAGAUAUAUGGAGGAACACCGGUGGCGAAAGCGGCUCUCUGGCUUGUAACUGACGCUGAGGCUCGAAAGCGUGGGGAGCAAACAGGAUUAGAUACCCUGGUAGUCCACGCCGUAAACGAUGAGUGCUAGGUGUUAGACCCUUUCCGGGGUUUAGUGCCGUAGCUAACGCAUUAAGCACUCCGCCUGGGGAGUACGACCGCAAGGUUG
Molecule: ribosomal RNA, 550 nt
Filed under: uncultured bacterium
Lineage: Bacteria
Description: bacterial SSU rRNA
Rfam family: Bacterial small subunit ribosomal RNA
Source: RNAcentral